GAUGAACGCUAGCUACAGGCUUAACACAUGCAAGUCGAGGGACCGGCGCACGGGUGAGUAACACGUAUCCAACCUGCCCUUUACUCGGGGAUAGCCUUUCGAAAGAAAGUUUAAUAUCCGAUAUAAAGGAUGGGGAUGCGUUCCAUUAGGUUGUUGGUGAGGUAACGGCCCACCAAGCCUUCGAUGGAUAGGGGUUCUGAGAGGAAGCACCCCUACAUUGGAGCUGAGACACGGUCCAAACUGGUACGGGAGGCAGCAGUGAGGAAUAUUGGGCAAUGGGCGCUAGCCUGAACCAGCCGAGUAGCGUGAAGGAUGCAUGGUUAGGAGUCUUAAACUUCCUUUAUAUAAGAAUAUGUAUUAGAUGAAUAAGGAUCGGCUAACUCCGUGCCAGCAGCCGCGGUAAUAC
RNAcentral lists this ribosomal RNA (406 nucleotides) under uncultured bacterium. RNAcentral's name for it is "partial 16S ribosomal RNA". It matches the Rfam family "Bacterial small subunit ribosomal RNA", at positions 28 to 526 of the family's 1533-position model. The record is from RNAcentral.